AGUCCCGUGAGUAUGCCCUCAAUCCCCCGCCCGGGGACAAGGAGCGGGCAUCAGGCACAAAUAUUAGCCCAAAACGCCUAGCCAAGCCACACCCCCAAGGGAAUUCAGCAGUGAUAAACAUUAAGCCAUAAGUGAAAGCUUGACUCAGUCAGGGUUAAGAGGGCCGGUAAAACUCGUGCCAGCCACCGCGGUUAAACGAGAGGCCCUAGUUGAUAUUAUUACGGCGUAAAGGGUGGUUAAGGAUAAAACAUUGAUAAAGCCAAAUGGCCCUUUGGCCGUCAUACGCUUCUAGGUGUCCGAAGUCCAACCUCACGAAAGUAGCUUUAAUAAAACCCACCUGACUCCACGAAAGCUGAGAAACAAACUGGGAUUAGAUACCCCACUAUGCUCAGCCAUAAACCUAGACGUCAACCUACAAUUAGACGUUCGCCAGGGUACUACGAGCAUUAGCUUGAAACCCAAAGGACCUGACGGUGCCUUAGACCCCCCUAGAGGAGCCUGUUCUAGAACCGAUAACCCCCGUUAAACCUCACCACUUCUAGCCAUCCCA
This 550-nucleotide ribosomal RNA is filed under the name Pseudogobio esocinus. RNAcentral's name for it is "partial 12S ribosomal RNA". It matches the Rfam family "Bacterial small subunit ribosomal RNA", at positions 288 to 991 of the family's 1533-position model. Lineage: Eukaryota; Metazoa; Chordata; Actinopteri; Cypriniformes; Gobionidae. The record is from RNAcentral.